Long non-coding RNA from Salvelinus fontinalis (brook trout), 3938 nucleotides. RefSeq lists it as uncharacterized. The record is from RefSeq and is a predicted model, not a curated record. The transcript is spliced from 2 exons. Lineage: Eukaryota; Metazoa; Chordata; Actinopteri; Salmoniformes; Salmonidae.
UAAGGCCACCUCCAACUGUUGCUCAUAUGAAAACAAUGGUUGUAGCAAUAAGGCCACCUCCAACUGUUGCUCAUAUGAAAACAAUGGUUGUAGCAAUAAGGCCACCUCCAACUGCUGCUCAUAUGAAAACAAUGGUUGUAGUAAUAAGGCCACCUCCAACUGCUGCUCAUAUGAAAACAAUGGUUGUAGCAAUAAGCCCACCUCCAACUGCUGCUCAUAUGAAAACAAUGGUUGAAGCAGUAAAGCCCACCUCCAACUGCUGCUCAUAUGAAAACAAUGGUUGAAGCAGUAAAGCCCACCUCCUGCUGUUGCUCAUAUGAAAACACUGGUUGAAGCAGUAAAGCCCACCUCCCGCUGCUGCUCAUAUGAAAACAAUGGCUGAAGCAGUAAAGUCCACCUCCCGCUGUUGCUCAUAUGAAAACAAUGGUUGUAGCAGUAAAGCCCACCUCCAACUGUUGCUCAUAUGAAAACAAAGGUUGAAGCAGUAAAGCCCACCUCCUGCUGUUGCUCAUAUGAAAACAAUGGUUGUAGCAGUAAAGCCCACCUCCAACUGUUGCUCAUGUGAAAACAAUGGUUGAAGCAGUAAAGCCCACCUCCCAACGCUGCUCAUAUGAAAACAAUGGCUGGAAGUGAAAGCUCAAUGAAAGGCAUUGGCUGACUGAUACUGUGUGAUGAUGAUGCUCAAAUGAAACAAUAGGGAGUCUGCAUCGAAAUGUCAGACCCAAUUCUACUAUGUACCAACCCAAAACAAAUGGACUGGGGGAGAGAGUGAUGUAAUGAAAAGUAUUGGUAGAGAUGGGGUAACCCUGUCUAUGUCUAUCAUAAUCAUGAACUGGGGAAUGGGAUGAAUAUAUUUAAAAACAGAACAACACAGACCCUGAAAUACUGGUUUUGUUAGAUGUGUUUGAAUGGAGGACAUAGUAUCUCUCUUUCUAAUAAUACUGUUUGUGCGACCAAUAAACUUUGAUUCAAAUUUUUUAAUACAGCACAUCUCUGAUCUUGUCAAUAGCAAAGGAUUUUAUUUCAUCAUAAUAGUACAUUACAGUAUAUAUCGUACUUUAUAUCUUUCUACUUUACAGACAUACAUUUUCAUUAUGUAAUUCUAAAAAUCUGUAGUAGAUAAACCAACAUGCAUCUAAAAUUGGUCGGCUUUAAAUGACGAGCAGAUUAUGAAGGCUUUAUAAAGCGUUCAUAAAGCCUUCAUAGACAAUACAUAAAUGUGUUACAAAUGAUCUGUAACCAUAUGACAUGCUUUAUAAAGGGUUCAUAAAGAUUGUCCAUGUUCACAACAAUACUUAAACCACAUCAGGGGACGACUUUUGAAGUCUGUUUAGUGUAGUUGCUGUUUAAUUCAGUGCACAUGCUCUCAAUGUUGUUUGGUUAGAGGUUUUUCUGUAGCACAGUAAGAGGACAUGUGGUGAUUAUGUAUUCCAUAUACAAUGAUUUGAAUUUGAGUGAAAGUUCAGCAACACUCCAUAUUAUUCAGAGCCCCAUGAAAUGACACCAUAUAUACAUUCUACAGACCCUACUGAGUAUCCCCUACAAUGGUUGUAUUGCGGCACCCAGAAUAGUUUUAGCUCUAUAAGCCAAUAUGUAUUCCAAAUAGAGUAAUUCACAUUGGGGGCAUUUUUAUGACCUUGUAGCAUGCUUUAAACCCCUAAUUUAAUGCAAAGGUCACUUACAGAUGAACAAAUAUAAAUCAUUGUUAAUAUUUAGAGAAUUAUUUUUCAUUUAUCAUACAGGUUGUUGACACUUUUACACUAUUGCUUGGGGGACUUUUAUUUAGAAAGUUUCCGAAAUUCCGUGACCCAGAAUGACUUUUUUAGUGUUGCUGACGAGACGCUGCUCAUGCGAUGCGUUCGCAAAUCAAAUGGCCAAUUGUGGUGCCAACCGGACAGCGAAAAACAAGUAAGUUAACCUUUAUUUAUUGUAUUUGAAAUUUGUUUGUUGUAAAGUGUUGACUUAGAUUAAGCUACCUCAAUCGUUAUUUCAAAUAAUUUCCAUGACUUCACAGCAAUUACUAGCUAUCUGAAAUGUAGCUAGCUAGCAGACUCCGCUACAUAAAAAUAAAUUUAGAUGCAUCCACAUUUCAUAGUCAUUUCAUGAGAUUUUUUAAUGAAAGAGGAAUAUAAUAAUACGAAUCGAAUGGAGUUUCCCAUCUCCCCAUUUAGAGUUUCUGGCACAGCACAGAAAUGCCCUUAUCCAGAUGGUGUGACAAAGGCAUUUCCUAACAGACUGGCUAACUUUCUUUGUUGUUACUUUUAAGGUUAGAACCAACCAAGACAGACAAGAACCAUUCAUCUGCCAGCUCAGGGACAAGCUACACGAUUCACAGUCCUGUGUAAUGUUCAAUGUAAUUGCAUUGCUGGACUUUUUUAAACUUAAUGUAUAGUAAAAAAUAAAUACAUUAAUUAAAGGAAAUGUAUGUUUUAAACAUGUUUUUAAUGUUUAUUUGUUUUAGCUGUUUUAGUGUUAAUACAUUUGUGUUUACAUCAUUAAUCCUUUAUGUAUGUUAUGAAUGACGAAAGGUGUCUGACCUUAUAGUAAGUACACUCUCAUAUGUGACUCGUUUCAGGAAACUAGGCGUAUGUUGCGGGUCACUACUUCACAGGAGAGCCCUUUGAAAUUAAACUUUUUAAAAUUAUUAUCAAAAUAAGUUUUAGGGCAGAAAUGCCUUCUGGAACGUGAACUUUCAUGUGCAUUAAUAACAAACUUGUAUGCCAUCUGUAAAUACAAAUAAAAUUGUUAAAUUACGAGCCUAGUUGGUUUAGCCACAGAUAAACCUUUGCGCUACCCAUGAUUGGCUGAGAUAAUGAAUGCGCUGGACAUGCCGAGAGAUGAGUUUGGAUUGGUGCGGUAUAGCACGCUUCUGUCUAUUUAAGCUGGUCAGUAUGUAUUGGUAAUACUUUCUAAUGCAGCUUUUUUUAAAUAUAUAUUGCGUUGUAGAUCUAGCUAACGUUAGCUUGCUGGCUCGCCAGCUAAUGUUACAUGUAUGAUCUUAUUAUUCGUAUCUCAAAGGCAUUUUCUUUGCUAGCUAACAUUGAACCUGGUUGGUUAGCUACCUGCAGAUUCAUGCAAGGUAGUAACGUCAUUAGUUGGGAUUAUGGUUCACUGUUUAGCUAGCUAGCUACAUGUCUUAACAAAAGACUCCACUAUGCAAGUAACCAUUUCAAUAGAAAUGUUGAUAGACGUACUGUAGCUGAUAAAUUGCGCAGAAUUACAGACAAAUUUAAGAACGUUCAACACGCGUUGAAUAUGGCCGGUGUCAGUAAAUGUUGGCAAAAAAUAGCAAAUUGUUUCCAGCAGCACAGUUGCAGUCACCAACGCUCUAGAUAACAUAAAAACAGCCUAACCAGCUCUGCUAGGGCGAGGAAAAUGGUCAGUGAGCUGUUUGUUCAUUUGUGUCUGGAAGUAGCUAGGAAGCUAGCCAACUCUAGCCAGUUAGCUUGGGUGAUUGAGCACUGUUAGGGCAGAAUGCUAGGAUCAAACCUUAAAGACAUGGGUGGGACUAAAGCUUAAGAGGGUGUGAACGAUGCUGAAUGGGUGUAGACAAAGAAGAGCUCUCCAGUAGGUACCAAAACGGGUAAAGGCCAUUUUCUCAAAAGUGAGGUUACUAGUUCAUCAACUUUCAAAGUAUAAUUACUGUGCUGUCAAACUGCCUGGGAGCUCCUCAGUGGUGAAACUCCUCCUCCUUCAAUCAGUGGUGAACCAGGUGGAACAAAUCUUCCAGGCAAUCUGGGCGUGCAGCACCUGGCUCUGCUGUUGUCUUUAGAACGCAGUGAAAGGAGCAUUUAUAGCACCACAAGACCAAGGAAACUUCAUCUAUGUGAUCAAGGUGACUGUGCAAGUCCAAGCCCUCCACAAAACUGUGAAAGACAGCCGGUUUUUCACCUGUUUACUGCCAACCAAAGAAUGGUAAAUAAAAGACAAACAACUGA